AUGAACGCUGGCGGCGUGCCUAAUACCUGCCAGUCGAGCGAACAGACGAGGAGCUUGCUCCUCUGACGUUAGCGGCGGACGGGUGAGUAACACGUGGAUAACCUACCUAUAAGACUGGGAUAACUUCGGGAAACCGGAGCUAAUACCGGAUAAUAUAUUGAACCGCAUGGUUCAAUAGUGAAAGACGGUUUUGCUGUCACUUAUAGAUGGAUCCGCGCCGCAUUAGCUAGUUGGUAAGGUAACGGCUUACCAAGGCAACGAUGCGUAGCCGACCUGAGAGGGUGAUCGGCCACACUGGAACUGAGACACGGUGCAGACUCCUACGGGAGGCAGCAGUAGGGAAUCUUCCGCAAUGGGCGAAAGCUUGACGGAGCAACGCCGCGUGAGUGAUGAAGGUCUUCGGAUCGUAAAACUCUGUUAUUAGGGAAGAACAAAUGUGUAAGUAACUAUGCACGUCUUGACGGUACCUAAUCAGAAAGCCACGGCUAACUACGUG
Molecule: ribosomal RNA, 496 nt
Filed under: uncultured bacterium
Lineage: Bacteria
Description: partial 16S ribosomal RNA
Rfam family: Bacterial small subunit ribosomal RNA
Source: RNAcentral